CCGACGCCAAGCAGGGCGUCGAGCAGGCGUGCUCCGCCGGUGAGUCGCUCUAGAAGGAGCUUGAGGAGAUGGGUGUGCCGGUGUGUCAAGAUCUGUCGCUGGUGUGCUGUAAGGAGUAGAAUUCUGAAUUUAAGUUGGAGGCAACAUUUCUGAACCUUGUACAGAACUGGGCUUUACACAACUGGGUGUUUUCAGGUACUCCAUCAGAGGAGCAGCUCUUCCAUGGGGUCCAGCAGCGUUUCCAGUCGCAGGUAUACGUAUUGUCUGAAACUAUGUACUCCUCCUUGCGACGAGCCAGACGACAAGAGCAAAGGCUCCCCCUUGCAAGCUCGACGGCAGCGGC
Molecule: long non-coding RNA, 343 nt
Organism: Triticum dicoccoides
Lineage: Eukaryota; Viridiplantae; Streptophyta; Magnoliopsida; Poales; Poaceae
Exons: 3
Source: RefSeq, a predicted model, not a curated record